CGGUAGCACAAACAGACUCUGACUCUGUUUGUCUUGGUUCGAAUCCAGGUUCCCCAGCCA
RNAcentral lists this transfer RNA (60 nucleotides) under Bradyrhizobium japonicum. RNAcentral's name for it is "partial tRNA-Gln". Lineage: Bacteria; Pseudomonadati; Pseudomonadota; Alphaproteobacteria; Hyphomicrobiales; Nitrobacteraceae. The record is from RNAcentral.